RNAcentral lists this transfer RNA (77 nucleotides) under Saccharopolyspora terrae. RNAcentral describes it as "Saccharopolyspora sp. 16K309 tRNA-Pro". It matches the Rfam family "tRNA". From Rfam's summary of the family: Transfer RNA (tRNA) molecules are approximately 80 nucleotides in length. RNAcentral also lists the same sequence under 1 other name. The record is from RNAcentral. Lineage: Bacteria; Bacillati; Actinomycetota; Actinomycetes; Pseudonocardiales; Pseudonocardiaceae.
CGGGACGUAGCGCAGCUUGGUAGCGCACUUGACUGGGGGUCAAGGGGUCGUGGGUUCGAAUCCCGCCGUCCCGACCG